Molecule: ribosomal RNA, 390 nt
Filed under: Triticum aestivum (bread wheat)
Lineage: Eukaryota; Viridiplantae; Streptophyta; Magnoliopsida; Poales; Poaceae
Description: partial small subunit ribosomal RNA
Source: RNAcentral
AUGCGUCGGUGCACCACGUCGCUGCUCGUUUCCUGCCAAGACCGUCUCCGUGGAAUUUCUCCAAGUACAGCACCGACAAGACCACACGGAUGCCCGAAUGAGUACCGAACGAAACGCCAAGACCUACGAGAACGACUUUAUGGACCGACGAGUACCACGACGACCGUUGUUCGCCAAGUACACCUUCGGAUGGCCAAGUUCCUCUUCAAAUGUACGACUACACGGUGUUACGCCAAGUACCCGAUGGCCGGAGCCCUUGGACCCGUCAAGUCCGUCUACGAACCAUGUACGACUACCGUUGCUCGAAGCACCGUGGGUCACAAGCACCGCGAACGACUACCGCCGCCGAAGUCCGCGAGUACAACUACUUCCACAACGCGUUGUGUAUGA